GCUGGAAUGGUCUAGUUGGUUAUGACGACUGCCUCACACGCAGUAGGUCCCGAGUUCGACUCUCGGUCCCAGUA
RNAcentral lists this transfer RNA (74 nucleotides) under Perkinsus olseni. RNAcentral's name for it is "tRNA-Val". It matches the Rfam family "tRNA". Rfam says of the family: Transfer RNA (tRNA) molecules are approximately 80 nucleotides in length. The record is from RNAcentral. Lineage: Eukaryota; Perkinsozoa; Perkinsida; Perkinsidae.